Molecule: unclassified non-coding RNA, 182 nt
Filed under: rhizosphere metagenome
Description: partial ribosomal RNA internal transcribed spacer region
Source: RNAcentral
GUAGGUGAACCUGCGGAAGGAUCAUUAACAAAUCAUUGAGCCUUGAGCUCAACAUUUACUCUGGGGUUUAGUAGGGUUCAGUCACUAUUAUUCCCCAUUGUACAUUUACGCUUGUAUUGUUUGACUGUAUCAAUGAAAUCUAUAAUAAAAGACAACUUUUAACAAUGGAUCUCUUGGCUCUU